This 253-nucleotide ribosomal RNA is filed under the name uncultured bacterium. RNAcentral's name for it is "partial 16S ribosomal RNA". It matches the Rfam family "Bacterial small subunit ribosomal RNA", at positions 524 to 776 of the family's 1533-position model. The record is from RNAcentral.
UACGUAGGCAGCGAGCGUUGUUCGGAAUUACUGGGCGUAAAGAGUGUGUAGGCGGCUUCGUAAGUUGGAUGUGAAAUCCCACGGCUCAACCGUGGACGUGCAUCCAAAACUACGUCGCUGGAGUCUCGGAGAGGAAGGUGGAAUGCUUGGUGUAGAGGUGAAAUUCGUAGAUAUCAAGCAGAACACCUGCGGCGAAGGCGGCCUUCUGGACGAUGACUGACGCUGAGACGCGAAAGCGUGGGGAGCAAACAGG